GGAGGGUGCGAGCGUUGUCCGGAAUCACUGGGCGUAAAGGGCGCGUAGGCGGCGCGGAUAGUCGGCGGUGAAAGCCCGGAGCUCAACUCCGGGUCGGCCGUCGAUACUUCCGGGCUUGAGCACUGUAGAGGCAGAUGGAAUUCCGGGUGUAGCGGUGGAAUGCGUAGAGAUCCGGAAGAACACCGGUGGCGAAGGCGGUCUGCUGGGCAGUUGCUGACGCUGAUGCGCGACAGCGUGGGGAGCAAACAGGAUUAGAUACCCUGGUAGUCCACGCCGUAAACGAUGGGCACUAGGUGCUUGGGGGAGCGACCCCCUGAGUGCCGGCGCUAACGCAUUAAGUGCCCCGCCUGGGGAGUACGGCCGCAAGG
Molecule: ribosomal RNA, 368 nt
Filed under: uncultured bacterium
Lineage: Bacteria
Description: bacterial SSU rRNA
Rfam family: Bacterial small subunit ribosomal RNA
Source: RNAcentral